CGCAUGCGCAGGAACUGUGCCAAAAACACUAUAUAAGCCCUCGGCGCACACACGCCUGUCCCAUUUUGCUGCAAAAAAGGCAACACGUGGACGGGCAACACGUGGACGGCUCGACAGCCACAAUGGCGGGCUCCGCGUACCUGGCAGCGCUCGCAGGGACGAUCGCGCCGGUGAGCUGCUCGGGUGUGGAGACUUAAUGGGUGACGGACUUGGGCCCGGUUCCCUGGUACUUUAAGACUGGAAUCUAGCAUGAGGGUGCUGGUGUCCUCCAUGUUGAAAUGGGACACUUCGGAUGGCUGACCUGCCCCUUCAGCUGCUACUAGUCGUGUUGCCCUCUUUGAGGUGGAGCUGUCCUUACUGGUAGUCACGGGCUUGAGUCGGAAGAGAGCAGAGUUGGAGUCCUUGUGGUGUUAAGAUGUCUGUUCCUUUCCCCUCCUUUUAAUUUAUUUUUUUUUUAAAUAAAGAGGCUUGUCAAAGCAAGAAGUGGAAAUUAA
Molecule: non-coding RNA, 494 nt
Organism: Electrophorus electricus (electric eel)
Lineage: Eukaryota; Metazoa; Chordata; Actinopteri; Gymnotiformes; Gymnotidae
Source: RefSeq, a predicted model, not a curated record